This 402-nucleotide ribosomal RNA is filed under the name Bacteroides ovatus. RNAcentral's name for it is "partial 23S ribosomal RNA". It matches the Rfam family "Bacterial large subunit ribosomal RNA", at positions 1 to 413 of the family's 2925-position model. Lineage: Bacteria; Pseudomonadati; Bacteroidota; Bacteroidia; Bacteroidales; Bacteroidaceae. The record is from RNAcentral.
AAAGAAAGUAAGCAAGGGCGCAUGGCGGAUGCCUUGGCUCUCGGAGGCGAUGAAGGACGUGAUAAGCUGCGAUAAGCUUCGGGCAGGUGCAAAUAACCUUUGAUCCGAAGAUUUCCGAAUGGGACAACCCGUCAUUCUGAAGGAAUGACAUCUUGCAUAGCAAGAGGCUAACGCAGGGAACUGAAACAUCUUAGUACCUGUAGGAAAAGAAAAUAAUAAUGAUUCCCCUAGUAGUGGCGAGCGAACGGGGAUUAGCCCAAACCAAUGUUGUUACGGCAAUAUUGGGGUUGUAGGACCACGAUGUCGCAAGAAAUUUAGUGAGAAGAAUUCUUUGGAAAAUGAAACCAUAGACGGUGAUAGUCCGGUAUUCGAAGCUAAAUGAAGCGUAGUGGUAUCCUGAGU